RNAcentral lists this long non-coding RNA (2488 nucleotides) under Salmo salar (Atlantic salmon). Its description in RNAcentral is "lncRNA (ENSSSAG00000104660.1)". The record is from RNAcentral. Lineage: Eukaryota; Metazoa; Chordata; Actinopteri; Salmoniformes; Salmonidae.
CCCCAGCUACCUAUUCUGCCCCACAACCCCAGCUACCUAUUCUGCCCCACAACCCCAGCUACCUAUUCUGCCCCACAACCCCAGCUACCUAUUCUGCCCCACAACCCCAGCUACCUGUUCUGCCCCACAACCCCAGCUACCUGUUUUGCCCCACAACCCCAGCUACCUGUUUUGCCCCACAACCCCAGCUACCUGUUUUGCCCCACAACCCCAGCUACCUGUUUUGCCCCACAACCCCAGCUACCUGUUUUGCCCCACAAACCCCAGACAUCUAUUCUGCCCCACAAACCCAGCCAUCUAUUCUGCCCCACAAACCCAGCCAUCUAUUCUGCCCCACAAACCCAGCUACCUAUUCUGCCCCACAACCCCAGCUACCUAUUCUGCUCCACAACCCCAGUUACCUGCUACCUAUUCUGCCCCACAAACCCAGCUACCUAUUCUGCUCCACAACCCCAGCCACCUGCUAAACUAUAGUACCUGUAGCUAUUCUACCAACUACUCUGCUACAGUAACUACAAACAGGAGGAUCUGUUUCUGUUAGCUUUGGAAGAGACUGGAGACAUGGAGAUGUAGGAAAGAGAUCUUCACAACAACGGAGCCUGUUUCUGUCCGUAUUGUUAGAUUUAACCUGUAGCCUGUAUGAGAGGACGGUUCAAGUCUGAAUGAUCAGAACAGGCACUGCUGUUGUCUGUUUCUCUGCUGCCUCUCCCUCACUCCCUCAUUCCCUCCUCUUCUCUCCCUCAUUCCCUCCUCUUCUCUUCCUCACUCCCUCCUCUUCUCUCCCCUCACUCCCUCCUCUUCUCUCCCCUCACUCCCUCCUCUUCUCUCCCCUCACUCCCUCCUCUUCUCUCCCCUCACUCCCUCCCUCCUCUUCUCUCCCCUCACUCCCUCCCUCCUCUUCUCUCCCCUCACUCCCUCCCUCCUCUUCUCUCCCCUCACUCACUCACUCCCUCCAAUUCUCUCCCCUCACUCACUCACUCCCUCCAAUUCUCUCCCCUCACUCACUCCCUCCUCUUCUCUCUCUCAUCCUCAGACUACUCAGUACGCUACAGAGAUUACAUAGACUAACUCUUCUUCUCUGAUGCCUUGUGUGACUUUUAAGAAUGUACUUAAAAGCAGCCAUUUUCUUUUCGGUUAGCGUGUGUUUCUGAGGGAAUGGUUUUCAUGUUUUCGGUUAGCGUGUGUUUCUGAGGGAAUGGUUUUCAUGUUUUCGGUUAGCGUGUGUUUCUGAGGGAAUGGUUUUCAAUGCUUUCGGUUAGCGUGUGUUUCUGAGGGAAUGGUUUUCAAUGCUUUCAGUUAGCAUGUGUUUCUGAGGGAAUGGUUUUCAAUGUUUUCAGUUAGCCUGUGUUUCUGAGGGAAUGGUUAAAAAAACAGACUUCAGAUUCAAAUGUAACGACUCCAUUUCUAGCAUGGUUCAUGUGCACAAACACUUUUUUUUUUUUUUUUUUUAGAUCAGCUGCAGCGAUAUAACCUCUUCUGAAAGCUCUUGAGACUAAACUGUAUUUGGAAGUAGAUCCACAGUUUCAGAAUUCAUCUUUAUAUUGAUUGAUACAAUAUUAUGUCAGCAGCUCAACCCAUGUUUCCUUAUUCCAGAAGUGAUCGGGGGAAAUGGUUCUGUCUUUAUCAUGCGUUUAGUCUAUUUAAGAUGUUUUGUAUGUCAGAUUUGGAAUGAAAGUUUAAGAUAUGGAGUGAAUCCCGAAUGGCACCAUACUCCCUUUAUUAGUGCACUACUAUAUAGCCCUGUAGGGUUCUGGUGAAAAGUAGUGCACUAUAUAGGGAAUAGGGUGCCAUUUUGGGAUGCAUACAUUAAUAUAUGUCACAGUUGUAUCCUCGCAACAUUGUAAUUAAAUACGUGAAGCAUCAGCCAACCACCCAUCUGUUUGUUAUUGAAGGUCUAGCUAGCUAUACUCAACCAACCACCCAUCUGUUUAUUGAAGGUCUAGCUAGCUAUACUCAACCAACCACCCAUCUGUUAUUGAAGGUAUAUAGCUAGCUAUACUCAACCAACCGCCCAUCUGUUUGUUAUUGAAGGUCUAGCUAGUGUCGUGUCUUUGGCUAUGCCGGAUUAAGUGAUAUGACAUGCUAACUUAUAAAAUGAUUUCUCUGUAAUUAAUAUUACCUGAUUAAGCUAAUCAUGUAAAUGUAAUUAACUAGAAAGUCGGGGCACCACGGAAGAACGUUUAUAGAGCUGUUAUCUUCCGAAUAAACUCUUAAAAUACUUAGUAAUAUUUUACCUCGAUAGCAGUCAAUAUUAACCCUUGUCUUAUUUUCAGUCUCAUAAUGAAAGUUGUAAGUUCUUGGCUAUCUUCACGAACCCUGGCUAACAAGUUGAAUCAGCAAUACAAAAUUGGGUUUAAUUAUUUAUUUACUAAAUACCUAACUAAUCACACAGAAUUACAAAUACACAGAAUACAAUGUCGUCAUACAGAAAACGUCCCGGUAGACGGAACAGAUAUGACGGCUGGUUACACAAAGGAAAGGGGUUGGG